AAUAAAUAUCUCUUACAUAGCAAUUUUAUUUUUAGAAAUAUAAGUGAAGGAAACAAUGAUGUGACAAAGAUUUGGCAAUAAGAGCCAAGUAUUGAAAUGGUGUCUGACCCAGAGUAAGGACUUAAUAAAUAUUAUUGAUUAAAGAGUGAUGCGUGAAGGGUUGCCAAGGAAGCCAGAGUGGAGGCUGUCGGAGGAUGGGUUUGAGUGAACUUUGGCUGCUCCAUCAAGCAGGCUGAUUACUGAGGAAACAUCAGAAGCUCCACCCGAAUGACUCAUCACCCAGAUCCAACAGAGAUUCUGCUUUUAAAAUUCACUGCAUGGUCUCUACAGACAAGAAGCAAAGGUUCUGCACGGCUACAGCAUUUCAGUUAAAAGACAAGGAAUCUACAUUUUCUUUCAUUUUGCUCUUAGACAGCCAGUAUGUUUUAUAGUCUCCCACAUACUUUUCUUUUCUCAAACACAUUUUCAGGCUUAACAGUAUAUUUUUUAAAAGUCAGAGAAUUUUCAGGUAAUAACAUUUUUGAAUACUACAGACUUUAAAAGAAAUGUUAGUAAUUAAAAAAAAAUCUCACAUACAAAGCCAAUUGCCCUAUCUAUCUGAAAAUUAUACCUACCCAUUUGCCAGUUGCAUUAUUACAGAAUUGCUAAUAUUUCCUACUUUUCAAAAGCAUUAGAAUAAACUUGCUUGGAGGUGAUGUUAUUUACUAAAAAUAGAGGUAUAUAUUUCUUUAUGUUGGUUUAAAAUUGAAGUAUAUUUUAUGUAAAAGGAGAUAUUUAAAGGUUAAUCUUAACAGGGAAGUAUUUUCCUAUAUAAAUAUAUCAUAACUUCACACUAUGUAAUUUUGGAGUUUUUCCUAAUGAUUUAUGGUUUUGAGAACUGUGGGUCUUAGUUAAAAUGUAAUGACUUGAAGAGUUUUUUACCUUUCACUCUGAGGGUACAUGGACCAAAAAAAUCAUGUCUCCUAGUAUUCAUUGUACUGCAUCUACUCUGGUCAAAUGGAAUCAUCUACUUCAAAGGUUAUUGUGAGAGAAAAAUUCAAAAAGGAUAAAUUGCAUGUAAUUGUGGUAAAGAAUAAGCUUUUACUGAUCAGUUAGAAAAUACCAGACACCGUGCUUGUGUAAUCAAUGAUGGGUUAGUAAUAUUAUUUUGUAUAAGAAAGAACAUUAUUAAAAUGUAUUAAAUUGUUCUGUACUGAAGGGCAAAAGAGCAUUGUGUAAUCUCUAAUUCCUGCCAGAGAGACUUUUUCACUGGGUAGAACCAUUUUUAUAGUCCAUUCAUGUAUUCAACCAGCAUUUAUUGAAGCUAUGUUUUUCUUAUGUACCCUACUAGGAACAGAAUUUUGGGGUGGUAAAAAAAUCAAUAAAACACACUGCCUUAAGGAUUUUCAAGCUUGAGGAUGGGAGAGUGUAAAGAAGCAAUCAUGUAAACAAUAAAUGACAAUACAAAGAA
Long non-coding RNA from Hyaena hyaena (striped hyena), 1450 nucleotides. RefSeq lists it as uncharacterized. The transcript is spliced from 4 exons. NCBI's taxonomy places the organism in Eukaryota, Metazoa, Chordata, Mammalia, Carnivora, Hyaenidae. The record is from RefSeq and is a predicted model, not a curated record.